UGAAAUGAAAUAUUUUUGAUUGUUUUUAAUUUCAAGGAACAUAUGAAGUCUUAUUUGCAAAUAUAAUAAUAAUCAAUAACAGUAAUAAUUCAAUUGACCAUAAAAUCUCUUUUUAUUUAUAAAAUUUGGAAGGAUUACACUGCGUACAAAUUCAGAAACCAAAAAUAUAAAUCUAAGAGAAAAGGCAAAUGCCAUGCUAAGGAUCCUUAGCAACUACAUCAGAUGAUCUUGCUACGGG
Molecule: long non-coding RNA, 238 nt
Filed under: Lathyrus oleraceus (garden pea)
Lineage: Eukaryota; Viridiplantae; Streptophyta; Magnoliopsida; Fabales; Fabaceae
Description: Pisum sativum (pea) long non-coding RNA (PSAT_LNC014521)
Source: RNAcentral